Arabidopsis thaliana (thale cress) is the source of this 294-nucleotide RNA transcript. RefSeq lists it as uncharacterized. Lineage: Eukaryota; Viridiplantae; Streptophyta; Magnoliopsida; Brassicales; Brassicaceae. The record is from RefSeq. The transcript is spliced from 4 exons.
CUCAGACAUGCUUUGUUUGAGAACAUUUACCAAACUCGAGUGGCCCGUGAGAACAAUAAGCUUCAACUAUUCGGGAGAGUAUAUUGCUUCAGCCAGUGAGGAUUCAUUUAUCGAUAUUUGACAAUGAUGCAUCAUCAAGUACAGAAAGCAAUCAAUGCUGAACAAGUGGUGUUUAGUUAAGGAGAAAGCUUCCGACUUGAAUGAAGGUGCAGACAAAGAAGCGUUACUUGCAACUCAUGUUCGACUUGAUGCCAAAAGAGAGAUGUGAUUCGUUUGCUUUGUUGUCUUCUUUUU